RNAcentral lists this non-coding RNA (321 nucleotides) under Streptomyces afghaniensis 772. RNAcentral's name for it is "Bacterial large subunit ribosomal RNA". It matches the Rfam family "Bacterial large subunit ribosomal RNA", at positions 443 to 751 of the family's 2925-position model. Lineage: Bacteria; Bacillati; Actinomycetota; Actinomycetes; Kitasatosporales; Streptomycetaceae. The record is from Rfam by way of RNAcentral.
ACUGGCGGGACCACCCGCUAAGCCUAAAUAUUCCUCGGUGACCGAUAGCGGAUAGUACCGUGAGGGAAUGGUGAAAAGUACCGCGGGAGCGGAGUGAAAUAGUACCUGAAACCGUGUGCCUACAAGCCGUGGGAGCGUCGGAUGGAAGCUUGCUUCCAUCUCGUGACUGCGUGCCUUUUGAAGAAUGAGCCUGCGAGUUUGCGGUGUGUUGCGAGGUUAACCCGGGUGGGGAAGCCGUAGCGAAAGCGAGUCCGAAUAGGGCGUUUCAGUAGCACGCUCAAGACCCGAGGCGGAGUGAUCUAGCCAUGGGCAGGUUGAAGC